AAAAAAAAGAGUAUUUUAUUUUAUAUUUUUUUUAUAUAAGUGCAUGGGUCUUUUACUCCAUAUAUGAACUGAAAUGCUUCCAAAUCAAUGAAAUAUUUUAAGCAAAUUAACAAUAAAAAAUCAAGGUGUGGAAAUCCACGUGAGAAAAAAACAGAGGGGCUAAAAAUGUUGCUAUCCUGAAUUUACUACACCAAGGAACUGUAGACAUUGACGUUCUGGUGAAGUUGCUAUAAAAUCUGCCCUCUGGAACCAAUUGGAAACCACAUUUGCAGAGCUAUUUGAGCUUAUUGUUGAAACGAAAUCAUAUUUCUCCUUCACUUUUUGCUCAUGGCUCUAGUUGGUAACUUUCUUCCAAAGCCUAUCAUGCUCUCCAUGCAGAUUUCCAUGCUCCAAAAACCAAAAACUAUGAUAGUAUGUGCGACACCAGAGAGGCCAAAGACCCGGAGCGGGAGCGGCGGAAAAAUCAACAGCACCCUCAGACUCUCGACGAGGACCAUAGUAGGGGUGAAGGAGGUUACUCCUAACACUACCCUGGAUGUUGGAGAAUCAAACCAGAAGAGGAAAGCAAAUAAUGCUGAUGAUGAUGCUGCAACUGUUAAUGGAGCUGAAGCAACUGAUUAGCUAUAAUAGAUUUUAGUUAAGGAGAGAGAUAGCUUUCAAGAUUGUAAAGCAAUCUUUAAUUUCUAGUAUAAAUAAAUCGCUCCUCUCUCUUUCCUUCUCUUCCUCUUCUUGUUAAAACAUCAUUUCUCAAGUUUAAGUUCCUUAAGCAUAUAUGCAGUUGAUUAGUUUCUGUUGGAAUAUAUAAUUUCUGUUUAAUCA
Molecule: non-coding RNA, 819 nt
Organism: Theobroma cacao (cacao)
Lineage: Eukaryota; Viridiplantae; Streptophyta; Magnoliopsida; Malvales; Malvaceae
Source: RefSeq, a predicted model, not a curated record